GCAGCAGGCGCGCAAAUUACCCACUCCCGGCACGGGGAGGUAGUGACGAAAAAUAACGAUACGGGACUCAUCCGAGGCCCCGUAAUCGGAAUGAGUACACUCUAAACCCUUUAACGAGUAUCCAUUGGAGGGCAAGUCUGGUGCCAGCAGCCGCGGUAAUUCCAGCUCCAAUAGCGUAUAUUAAAGUUGUUGCGGUUAAAAAGCUCGUAGUUGGACUUGUGUCCCACGCUGUCGGUUCACCGUUCGUCGGUGUUAACUGGCAUGCCUGUGUGGACGUCCUGCCGGUGGAUGCGGUCGGCCGUGGGCCUCUGGUCUGCGUGUCGGCGGUCCGAUGCAAUCCUACCGCGGUGCUCUUCACCGAGUGUCGAGGUGGGCCGGCACGUUUACUUUGAACAAAUUAGAGUGCUCAAAGCAGGCAGUGGUUCGCCUGAAUAUUGUGUGCAUGGAAUAAUGGAAUAGGACCUCGGUUCUAUUUUGUUGGUUUUCGGAACCUGAGGUAAUGAUUAAUAGGGACAGACGGGGGCAUUCGUAUUGCGACGUUAGAGGUGAAAUUCUUGGAUCGUCGCAAGACGAACCUAAGCGAAAGCAUUUGCCAUGAGUGUUUUCAUUAAUCAAGAACGAAAGUUAGAGGUUCGAAGGCGAUCAGAUACCGCCCUAGUUCUAACCAUAAACGAUGCCAGCUAGCGAUCCGCCGAAGUUCCUCCGAUGACUCGGCGGGCAGCUUCCGGGAAACCAAAGCUUUUGGGUUCCGGGGGAAGUAUGGUUGCAAAGCUGAAACUUAAAGGAAUUGACGGAAGGGCACCACCAGGAGUGGAGCCUGCGGCUUAAUUUGACUCAACACGGGAAACCUCACCAGGCCCGGACACCGGAAGGAUUGACAGAUUGAUAGCUCUUUCUUGAUUCGGUGGGGUGGUGGUGCAUGG
RNAcentral lists this ribosomal RNA (923 nucleotides) under Candovia granulosa. Its description in RNAcentral is "SSU rRNA". It matches the Rfam family "Eukaryotic small subunit ribosomal RNA", at positions 425 to 1287 of the family's 1831-position model. The record is from RNAcentral. Lineage: Eukaryota; Metazoa; Arthropoda; Insecta; Phasmatodea; Lonchodidae.